AACGGUCUAUACCUGCGGUACCUGCGGAGGGAUCAUUACCGAGUGCGGGCCCUCGCGGCCCAACCUCCCACCCUUGUCUCUAUACACCUGUUGCUUUGGCGGGCCCACCGGGGCCACCUGGUCGCCGGGGGACGUCCGUCCCCGGGCCCGUGCCCGCCGAAGCGCUCUGUGAACCCUGAUGAAGAUGGGCUGUCUGAGUACUAUGAAAAUUGUCAAAACUUUCAACAAUGGAUCUCUAGA
This 240-nucleotide unclassified non-coding RNA is filed under the name soil metagenome. Its description in RNAcentral is "partial contains 5.8S ribosomal RNA, internal transcribed spacer 2, and large subunit ribosomal RNA". The record is from RNAcentral.